AUGUCUCUUUGCGACCCCAUGGAAUGUAGCCCAUCAGGCUCCUCUGUCCAUGGGAUUUCCCAGGCAAGAAUACUGGAGUGGGUUGGCAUUUCCUUCUCCAGAGGCUCCUCUGUCCAUGGGAUUCUCCAGGCAAGAAUACAGAGUGGAUUGCCAUUUCCUUCUCCAGGGAAUCUUCCUGAACCAGGGUGUGAACCUGGGUCUCCCGAAUUGCAGGCAGAUUCUUCACCAUCUGAGCUAUAGGCAACCUGCCCAAACACCAUGUGAAAUGCCCUGGGCUAGCCUGAUGGUGUAUAAUGAACCUCAUGGGGUAGAGUGGAGCUGACCCAGCUGAAAGCUGUCCCAGACCAACCAGCACCCCGGUGACCUGGCUGCUGCUGCUGCUAAGUUGCUUCAGUCAUGUCCAACUCUGUGUGACCUCAGAGACGGCAGCCCACCAGGCUCCCCCGUCCCUGGGAUUCUCCAGGAGACCCAGAUUUGAUCCCUGGGUUGGGAAGAUCCUUUGGAGAAGGGGAUCACAACCCACUCCAGUAUUCUUGCCUGAAGAAUUCCAUGGACAGAGGAGCCUGGCGGCGUACAGUUCAUGGAGUGGCGAAGAAUCAGAUACAACUGAGUGACUAACAAUUUCACUUUCACACACUAAAUGGAAACUAAUGUGGAGUAAGUCCAACAUACUUUACUUUAGAAAGUAAAUUGU
Bos taurus (domestic cattle) is the source of this 694-nucleotide long non-coding RNA. Lineage: Eukaryota; Metazoa; Chordata; Mammalia; Artiodactyla; Bovidae. The record is from Ensembl.